UACUGAGGGGGCAAGCGUUGUUCGGAAUUACUGGGCGUAAAGGGCGCGUAGGCGGCCCGCUAAGUCGAACGUGAAAUCCCCAGGCUCAACCUGGGAACUGCGUCCGAUACUGGCAGGCUUGAAUCCGGGAGAGGGAUGGGGAAUUCCAGGUGUAGCGGUGAAAUGCGUAGAUAUCUGGAGGAACACCGGUGGCGAAGGCGGCAUCCUGGACCGGCAUUGACGCUGAGGCGCGAAAGCUAGGGGAGCAAACAGG
RNAcentral lists this ribosomal RNA (253 nucleotides) under uncultured bacterium. Its description in RNAcentral is "partial 16S ribosomal RNA". It matches the Rfam family "Bacterial small subunit ribosomal RNA", at positions 524 to 776 of the family's 1533-position model. The record is from RNAcentral.